CUCAGAUUGAACGCUGGCGGCAGGCCUAACACAUGCAAGUCGAACGGUAACAGGAAGAAGCUUGCUUCCUUGCUGACGAGUGGCGGACGGGUGAGUAAUGUCUGGGAAACUGCCUGAUGGAGGGGGAUAACUACUGGAAACGGUAGCUAAUACCGCAUAACGUCGCAAGACCAAAGAGGGGGACCUUCGGGCCUCUUGCCAUCGGAUGUGCCCAGAUGGGAUUAGCUAGUAGGUGGGGUAACGGCUCACCUAGGCGACGAUCCCUAGCUGGUCUGAGAGGAUGACCAGCCACACUGGAACUGAGCCAGGAUCAAACUCU
This 319-nucleotide ribosomal RNA is filed under the name uncultured soil bacterium. Its description in RNAcentral is "bacterial SSU rRNA". It matches the Rfam family "Bacterial small subunit ribosomal RNA", at positions 23 to 339 of the family's 1533-position model. The record is from RNAcentral.